Long non-coding RNA from Cyprinus carpio carpio, 676 nucleotides. NCBI's taxonomy places the organism in Eukaryota, Metazoa, Chordata, Actinopteri, Cypriniformes, Cyprinidae. The record is from Ensembl.
UUUUAAUUUAUGUUAUUUUAUCCAAAAUGGAUUAUAGAAUGCAAACUGUUUUAGUUCCAAGAUGAUUACUGAUGACACUCGCUGAUUUAAGCAUGCAACUUGAGAUCAUGUGACAGAUGAAGUCAGGUCAUAUGACUGUGUUUGUAGCAUGCUGCUCUCUAAAACAGCUCGUUAGCAGGCUAAAGCAAGAUGCUGAUGGAUUUGUAGCAAAGAACAGCAACAAGUAAACAGAAAGGAUGAAGAUCUGCAACAAACGAUGCAGAGAAUGAGGACAACUGAUCAGAUGACACAAACGCAUGCAGAGGGGAACAGGAGCACCAGGAAAAGCUUUUCUCAGCAUCUCCAGCUGGUUUUCAUGUUCCCAAACCUACAGCAGACCGGAUAAACUGACAGCGCUACUGUGAGUUAGACACUUAGGAACAUCAGCGGACAAUCCAAGCUGGAGUUUGCGUGAGGAAAUGUCAGAGUUAAGCCAUAUUGCAUGUGAAUGUGAACACACCCAGCAAUGCAAGCUUUAUUUUGAACAUCAUUGGAUUCUAAAAUGUGUCAGAAUGCAAUGCAUAGAACAGUGCGUUUGUUUUAAACACACUUUGAAAUGUUAUUUAUCAAACACCUGGAUAUUAAUCACCAAACAUGUUAUAAUUUGCUGGAAUUUUAUUGCUUAAUACAGUGCUUU